AAUCAGAAAAAGAAAUAAUAUAAUAGCUAGAAAACAUAAUUUAGAAGAAAGUCGGAAAAGGUUAUUAGAAGCAAACAGACUACAUAAAUCUUAUAAUACAUCUAGACAAGUUUGUGAAGAUUUAGUAAGCGCAUUAAAUUGGGAAAUACAAGGUUGUGAGAGAGACUUAGAAAAUAAUACUUCGGGAAUAAAGUGGCUUAAGGAACAUAUUAAUAGAAAAUCUUAUCAAUUAGGAUAAUAAAUGCCAAUAAGAUAU
RNAcentral lists this long non-coding RNA (256 nucleotides) under Capsicum annuum. RNAcentral's name for it is "long non-coding RNA (CANN_LNC011669)". Lineage: Eukaryota; Viridiplantae; Streptophyta; Magnoliopsida; Solanales; Solanaceae. The record is from RNAcentral.